AAAUCGUUCGUCUGACAUGAGUAUAGGGGCGAAAGACUAAUCGAACCAUCUAGUAGCUGGUUCCCUCCGAAGUUUCCCCCAGGAUAGCUGAAAUUCGUCGUGAGUUUUAUCAGGUAAAGCGAAUGAUUAGGGGAUUCGGGGCUGAAACAGCCUCGACCCAUUCUCAAACUUUAAAUGGGUAAGAAGCGCGUGUUGCUUAAUUGAACAUGCGCAUCGAAUCAGGGUUCUUAGUGGGCCAUUUUUGGUAAGCAGAACUGGCGAUGUGGGAUGCUCCAGACGCGUUGGUUAAGGGGCCAAAGUACUCGCUCAUUCCGAUACCACAAAGGGUGUUGGUUGAUGAAGACAGCAGGACGGUGGUCAUGGAAGUCGAAAUCCGCUAAGGAGUGUGUAACAACUCACCUGCCGAAUCAACUAGCCCCGAAAAUGGAUGGCGCUCAAGCGAGUCCCCGAAACCGGGCCAUUGGGGUAGAUGCGACGCCCCAAUGAGUAGGAGGGCGCGUCGGUGGCAACGAAGGCGCGGGCGCAAGCCCCGCUUUGAGCCGCCGAUGGUGCAGAUCUUGGUGUUAGUAGCAAAUAUUCAAAUGAAAAUUUUGAAGACUGAAGUGGAGAAAGGUUUCGCGUCAACAUUAUUUGGACGUGAGUGACUCGGUCCUAAGGUAUUCCGUAUGGGAUUCAGAAGGCGCGAUUCUUCGCGCCGUCGGCCAAAAGGGCAAUUGGUUAAAAUUCCGAUAGCCGGACACGGUGCUGAGCGGUGACGCGUUUCUAACCUGGCAACGGUCGCCCGAACCCCGGGAAGAGUUAUCUUUUCUUUUUGACAACGAGCAUGCGUCUGAAACGGGAUUGUCUCUAGAUAGACGGAUGCUCGUGGCAGAGCGGCUGACUUCCUCAGCUGUCCGGUGCGUUCGGGAAGCCCCUUGAAAAGCCAGGGGCGUGUUUUGCACUCGGUCCGGGCCGUACUCAUAACCGCAUCAGGUCUCCAAGGUUAAAAGCCUCUGGUCAAUAGAAUAAUGUAGGUAAGGGAAGUCGGCAAAUUGGUUCCGUAAGUUCGCGAUGUGGGAUGGCUCGUCAGACUGGAUGGAAGAGGCUCGGUCCGCGAAGGUGGCUAGCCUACAGGACUGGCUAGGUUCCCCUCGGGGGGCCCGGCCGGGCUUGUUCGGUAGGCUGCUGGAGGGGUCGAGACAGUGCCGGGGCCUUUUGGACCCGGUUACAUUCUCGCCAUAACAAGCAGUUAAUGAUGAACUCGUAGUGACCACAGGAACCCGACUGUUUAAUUAAAACAAAGCAUUGCGAUGGUCGUAAGUCGAUGUUGACGCAAUGUGAUUUCUGCCCAGUGCCAUGAAUGUCAAAGUGAUGUGAUUUAACCAAGCGCUGGUAAACGGCGGGAGUAACUAUGACUCUCUUAAGGUAGCCAAAUGCCUCGUCAUCUAAUUAGUGACGCGCAUGAAUGGAUCAACGAGGUUCCUACUGUC
Molecule: ribosomal RNA, 1469 nt
Filed under: marine metagenome
Description: eukaryotic LSU rRNA
Rfam family: Eukaryotic large subunit ribosomal RNA
Source: RNAcentral